Molecule: long non-coding RNA, 1358 nt
Filed under: Gadus morhua (Atlantic cod)
Lineage: Eukaryota; Metazoa; Chordata; Actinopteri; Gadiformes; Gadidae
Description: lncRNA (ENSGMOG00000029382.1)
Source: RNAcentral
AUGCCUCCCUCUCCCUAUUCCCCUCUCUCCCUCCCUUUCCCUCUCCCUCCCUUGCCCUAUGCCUCCCUCUCCCUAUUCCCCUCCCUCUCUCCCUCCCCCUAUUCCUCUCUCUCUCCCUCUCUCCCUCCCCCUAUUCCUCUCUCUCUCCCUCUCUCCCUCUUCCUCUCUCUCUCCCUCUCUCCCUCCCCCUAUUCCCCUCUCUCCCUCUCUCCCUCCCCCUCUCUCUCUCUAGAUGCUGAGCCUCUCGCCCACAUCCCCGUGGUGGAGGUGGAAUCUGAGCCAGAGGAGGAGGAGGAAAAGCCUCUCCAACUGCAGCCCAGGAUGAUGGAGUGGCUGAAGCAAGGCAUCGAGAAGGUGGUUCCCCGUCCCGAGAUCUACAUCCACGUCCCCCACGAAGGCGCGGCCCAGAGUCAAAAGAAAGCUGAGGAGGCUCCAGCUCCGGCGGGCGACACGGAGAAUGUGGUAGGCUGGAUCGUUGGAGGCAUUGGUCGCAUGCUGCCCCAACCUGUGCUGAAGAAGGACAACAACGAUGGAGUGGAGAACAGAGCCAUGAGAGCCCCUUAAAUUAAAGGAGAAGACAGGGUUGGACAGAGUCCUUCACUCAGAAACAGAUGCACUUUAGCAGAGCAAGCAAGACAAUCGCACAAUGGAGCCAGUUUCUACAGACACCUGCACCAUCUAUACUAAGCAGUUAUUUACUCUUAUUUGCCAUAGUAAAUUACUAUGUUAGGCUAUAAUGGUUUAAAAUACGCCCACAGCUAAGUAUAUCCUGUAUGUUGUUUAUGUACAUUAUGUAACACGAUAGUGACCAAGAUAAUCCACUGUGAUAUCUUCAGAUCGAGAUACAGUUGCAAUAGGACAUGUUAAUGUUCGAGAAAAAAAUCGAAAUACACCAUUUAAUAUGUCCCUCUUUAUUUAGUUAUUACAAAUUGUAAUUUUUUUUGAGCUAAUUGAUGUCAAUGAUUAUCAAGUGUAAAAAAUAUGCAAUGUAAAGUUACUUUACAUACCAGGCAGCUCAUAUUGAUGUAUGAUGUAUGAAUUUAUAAAUUAUUUUUUUUGCACCCAUCAAGUAAUCAACCCAUCAGUCAAUCAAUCAAUACAUUGAACUGUCACUUCUAAUACAUUACACUGCACUUCUUAGAAAUAAUAUAUCACAAAAUUCUAAAGAUUCAGACACAUCAUAAUAAAGACAUCGUAGUCGACUGUUUGUGUCACUUUGAAAUGUUGUUACAUUGAACUUCAUCGCACUAUUUUCAAGAACAUGCCUGAAAAAUGUUUACUGCAAAUAAUGCUCUGUGAGAAUGUGUUUACUGUCAUUCUCUCCAAUUAAAAGAUGUGUACUACAAGCUCGCACUGCU